RNAcentral lists this ribosomal RNA (561 nucleotides) under uncultured bacterium. RNAcentral's name for it is "partial 16S ribosomal RNA". It matches the Rfam family "Bacterial small subunit ribosomal RNA", at positions 355 to 1375 of the family's 1533-position model. The record is from RNAcentral.
UGGGGAAUCUUGCGCAAUGGGCGAAAGCCUGACGCAGCCAUGCCGCGUGGAUGAUGAAGGUCUUAGGAUUGUAAAAUCCUUUCACCGGUGAAGAUAAUGACUGUAGCCGGAGAAGAAGCCCCGGCUAACUUCGUGCCAGCAGCCGCGGUAAUACGAAGGGGGCUAGCGUUGCUCGGAAUUACUGGGCGUAAAGGGAGCGUAGGCGGACAUUUAAGUCAGGGGUGAAAUCCCGAGGCUCAACCUCGGAACUGCCUUUGAUACUGGGUGUCUUGAGUGUGAGAGAGGUGAGUGGAACUCCGAGUGUAGAGGUGAAAUUCGUAGAUAUUCGGAAGAACACCAGUGGCGAAGGCGACUCACUGGCUCAUUACUGACGCUGAGGCUCGAAAGCGUGGGGAGCAAACAGGAUUAGAUACCCUGGUAGUCCACGCCGUAAACGAUGAUUGCUAGUUGUCGGGGAGCUUGCUCUUCGGUGACGCAGCUAACGCAUUAAGCAAUCCGCCCGGGGAGUACGGUCGCAAGAUUAAAAACUCAAAUGAAUUGACGGGGUCAUAGCUGUUUCCU